This 623-nucleotide ribosomal RNA is filed under the name Sarcinofilum mucosum. RNAcentral describes it as "bacterial LSU rRNA". It matches the Rfam family "Bacterial large subunit ribosomal RNA", at positions 1 to 606 of the family's 2925-position model. Lineage: Eukaryota; Viridiplantae; Chlorophyta; Ulvophyceae; Ulotrichales; Sarcinofilaceae. The record is from RNAcentral.
GGUCAAAUAUAUUAAGGCUUACGGUGGAUACCUAGGCAUUCAGAGACGAUGAAGGGCGUGGAUACCGACGAAACGCUUCGGGGAGUUGGAAACAAGCAUUGAUCCGAAGAUUCCCGAAUGGGGAAACCUGUAAAACUGCUUAUUGAAUUCAUAGAUAAGUAAGAGAUAACUUGCUGAACUGAAACAUCUUAGUAAGCAAAGGAAGAGAAAGCAAACGCGAUUUCCUUAGUAGCGGCGAGCGAAACGGAAACAGCCUAAACCUAAUUGAUUUAUUGAUUGGGGGUCGUGGGAAGAAAAAAAGUUAUAUCUAGAUAUAUUUGCCAAAUAGAGAAUCGGAUUUCUUCCGAUUCCGGUCAAAACGAAGCAGCUGAAUCCUGCACCAAAGAAGGUGAAAGUCCUGUAGUUGGAAAGCCAAUCUAUUUGUUUCUAAUCCCGAGUAGCAUGGGGCACGUGAAAUCCCGUGUGAAUCCGCGAGGACCACCUCGUAAGGCUAAAUACUCCUGAAUGACCGAUAGCGAAAUAGUACCGUGAGGGAAAGGUGAAACAGAACCCCAGUCGGGGAGUGAAAAAGAACAUGAAACCGUAAGCUGACAAACAGUGGGAGCGCAAGUGACCGCAUGCCU